RNAcentral lists this ribosomal RNA (484 nucleotides) under uncultured bacterium. RNAcentral describes it as "partial 16S ribosomal RNA". It matches the Rfam family "Bacterial small subunit ribosomal RNA", at positions 30 to 507 of the family's 1533-position model. The record is from RNAcentral.
AUUGAACGCUGGCGGCAGGCCUAACACAUGCAAGUCGAGCGGAUGAAGGGAGCUUGCUCCUGGAUUCAGCGGCGGACGGGUGAGUAAUGCCUAGGAAUCUGCCUGGUAGUGGGGGAUAACGUCCGGAAACGGGCGCUAAUACCGCAUACGUCCUGAGGGAGAAAGUGGGGGAGCUUCGGACCUCACGCUAUCAGAUGAGCCUAGGUCGGAUUGGUUAGUUGGUGGGGUAAAGGCCUACCUAGGCGAGGAUUCGUAACUGGUCUGAGAGGAUGAUUAGGCACAUGAGAACGGGAACAGGGUCCAGACGACUACGGUAGGCAGCAGUGGGGAAUAGUGGACAAUGGGCGAAAGCCUGAUCCAGCCAUGCCGCGUGUGUGAAGAAGGUCUUCGGAUUGUAAAGCACGUUAAGUUGGGAGGAAGGGCAGUAAGUUAAUACCUUGCUGUUUUGACGUUACCAACAGAAUAAGCACCGGCUAACUUCGUG